Molecule: RNA transcript, 3137 nt
Organism: Neltuma alba
Lineage: Eukaryota; Viridiplantae; Streptophyta; Magnoliopsida; Fabales; Fabaceae
Gene name: pentatricopeptide repeat-containing protein At1g63130, mitochondrial
Exons: 3
Source: RefSeq, a predicted model, not a curated record
AUCAAGGCGAGUUUUUUUUUUUUUUUGUGACAACGUCAAGGCGAGUUUUUGUGUCAAGAUACAUCCUUUCAGGGUAUACUGUUUACAUACCUCAACCAUUGAUUCCGGGCUAUUUUUUAAAGAUAGAACUUGAGAGUUAAACUAGGCUGCCAGGGAAGAGGGGUCGCGGAAAUUUCUUUUCCGAUGGUUGGCUAUUAACCCCUUGAGGUUGUUUCCUUCUCACAGCUUUGUUAGUGCUGUGGCACCGUAACUGGUCUACGCUUGUUAGAUUGGUAUCGGAGAGGUUCCCUUGGUGCCGCGAAUUGUGUAUUGAUGGGUGUAUAUUCAUGUCGAUAAGAUGUGGAGUUGAGUUCGCUCUGCUUCACAGCAAAGUACUCUAUUCCAAACAACGGUUAUUUAGAUUGUACUAUGCUGCUUCUUCGGCAGUGAUGUCUGAAGACCACUUGUUUGAUGAAAGUCCUGAAGUUGAUUAUGCCAAUGUAAUGGUCAAUUUUGGAGGAAAUAGUAUGAGAGUUUCAAGCCUGGAAAGAAAGGGCAGUUUAUUUCCUAUAGUGGUCUGGGUGAUUAAAACCUCAAAUUGGGAGACUGAACUUGCAAGAGAUAAAAUGUUCUGGAAAGCUGUAAAGCUAUUUGGAUUUUAUCAUUCAAUCACUUCCUUUAGAAUUAUUAUUCACAUAUAUGCAUCGGAGGGAAUGCACAUGGAAGUAUUUGCUUUGCUCAGAGAUAUUGUUGGAUUCUAUAGGAAAGCCAAUUUAGACGCGUUCAAAUUGUUUUCAACUUUGUUAGAUUCACCUCAGCAUGUGGAACGAUCAAUUGUUGUGUAUGACAUAUUAAUAAAAGUACUUGCAUCCUAUUCCAUGCUUGAUGACGCAUUUGAUGUGUUCGUGAGAAUUAAGCAUCUGGGGUUUGAACCUGAUGCAUUGUCGUGCAAUUUCUUGUUGAAAUGCUUGGUAGAAAGAAAGAGGGUGGAGUUGGUUGGAAAAUUAUUUCAAGAGCUAAAAAUCUCAGGCCCAUCACCAAAUAUCUACACGUAUACAAUUAUGAUGAGCUUCUACUGUAGAGGAGAUUGUGGGCAGGAUGUAGAUAUUAACCAAGCUACCGGAAUUUUUGAAGAAAUAUUGAGGAGUGGGGAAAACCCAACUGUUGUCACAUAUAGUAUUUAUAUUCGUGGACUUUGUAAAGUUGGUUCUGUUGCUGCUGCUCUGCAAUUCAUUCGUGAAUGCAGGUAUAGAAAACUGCCUCUCAAUAGCUAUUGCUUUAAUUCUGUAAUUUAUGAAUUUUGUCAAAGAGGUGCAGUUCAUGAAGCUUUGGAAGUCUUCCAAGAAAUGCGGAGCUCAGGAGUAUUGCCUGAUGUUUGUAGCUACAGUAUUUUAAUUCAUGCAUGUUGUAAAAAGGGUGAUAUAGUGAAAGCUUUUGACUUGAUUGAGGAAAUGGAACUUUGUAAUAUAAAACCAUCCAUAAUUAGUUACACCUCCCUCAUCUAUGGUCUAUGCAAGAGUAAGCUGAUGGAAUUUUCAAUGUGUGUGUUUCGGAAUAUCGGUGCCUCUGGAUACAAAUAUGAUCAGGCUGCUUAUGAAACUUUAAUCAAUGGAUAUUGCUGUCAAGGUGAUAUGGGUUCAGCCAAAAAGCUUUUGGAGGAGAUGAUCACAAAUGAUCUGGUUCCGACUUCUUUUGGUUAUCAGUGUAUAAUUGGAGGAUUCUACAAACUGGGAUUCGUAGACAAGGCAUUGGAAAUUCUAAAUUCCAUGCUACAAGGUGGUAUUUUGCCAAAUACCAUCACUUGCAAUUUUAUUAUCGAUGGGCUCUGCAGAGAAGGCCGUUUCAUGGAAGCCUUGACUCUACUGGAAGAGUUCCAAGACCAAGGAAUUGACCUAAACUCUCAUUCAUAUAACGCUGUCAUCUGCAGUCUUUGCAAGAGAGGAUAUUUAAAAUGGGCAUGGGAGCUCCUUCCAAGAAUGAUGAAAAGGAAUGUGCUUCCAGGAGUUGUUAAUUAUACAACUCUCAUAGACGCUUUUGCCAAACAAUCUCAUCUAAAGAAGGCCUUAUGGUUAUACACUAAAAUGCUGAAAGUUGGAGUCAGUCCCAACACCAUCACUUAUACAGUCCUCAUUAACAUCUUUUGCCGCGUGGGCAAAAUGCAUGAAGCUUUUGGUUUUUACAAGAAAAUGAUAGAAGAUGGUUUGAAUCCAGAUCAUAUUUCAUAUACAUCUUUAAUAGCUGGUUUUUGUAGUACUGGAGAUAUGAGAAGGGCUUGGGUAGUAUUCCAAGAAAUGUUGAGGAAAGGCCUUUUGCCUGAUGUAUUUACUUACACAUGUUUGAUAGAUGGAUUUUGCAAGUUAAACCGGAUAGAUUCAGCCUCUUUUCUGUUUGAUGAAAUGAACAGAAAAGCAGUUAAUCCUAGUGUAGUCACUUACACUAUUCUCAUUGCUUGGUACCGUAAACAUGGAUAUGCAGAUCAGGCGCAUAGGUUAUAUCGUGAAAUGAGGAUAAAGGGUAUUUCACCAGAUGAUAUAACUCAUACAGUUUAUUUUGGGAGGCGGUAGAGCAGAAGCUGAGGUUUCAUGAUAUUUUGAUGGUUUAACGUUUCAUUGUGAUGUAGCUGACAUUCUGACAAUAUGAUUUAUUGCAAACUGGAGGCAUUGUUCUAGUAAUAUAAGUAAAUGUAGUUUCUAAUGUGCUUGACACACAAUUUUAAUGUGAGAGCAUGCUAAGAAGGUUGAAUUACUUGAUGGAUUUAAAGAAUUGACUUGAUAACUAAUCACAAUUUUUUUUAUGGUGAAGGAGUCAUGACUGUUUUGCACCGUAUGAUUGUGGCCAAUAACAGAAUUUGGAUUCUUAUCCUGGUCGUGGUGCUGAAGUGGAAAGCAUCUCUCAAUUUGGGGAUGUUAUUAUCAGCCUGGACCACUAUGAGCUUGGAUCACAACAAUUGGUAUCUAUUUUAUGGUUGCCCUUGCAUUAUGCAGGGAGCUGCAAGGUAAUACUGCUUUGCACCGUGCAAUGUGAUCCAAUGUGAAAGGAGAGGGACCAACUGGUUCGGGUCUUGCCUGCUUGAAGUUGAUAUUGCCAAGACUUUCGGAUGAGAUGACACAACAGUAGUGAAGGCAAUGUACACUGUAAGCAAAGCUGGGGAUUUCCCA